AUAGUUCAGUUCCUCAUAGUUCAGGCUGGAGCAAGUAAGAUUCCAGUUUUACCACUGAAUCUCUGAGGCUGUCUCCUCAUCUGUAAAAACAGCAAUCCUAGCCCAGAGAGUUGUCAAAGUCACUGUGCUAUCGGGCCUGGUGGAAUGGGAGUGAGAGGGGCUCAGAGGGACUGUUACAAGACAUGAGGUGACGAUGGUGGGGUGGCGAGGCAGAAGCUGAUGGAGACUCACUGAGAAGUGGAGAAGCAAGACUCAUCACAGAUGGGGCAUAAAGGGAGAUGGAGGGGCAGGGGGUAGUCCUGGUCUCGGCCCAGGGGGAAGGGUUUCAAUGAGAGGAAGCCAGGGUGUGAAGUGAUGGGGGAGGAUCACGAGGUCAGGAGUUCAAGACCAGCCUGGCCAACAUAGUGAAACCCCGUCUCUACUAAAAUAAAUAAAUAAAUAAAUACAAAAAAUACAUAUAGCAAGACCCCACCUCUAAAAAAAAAAAAAAAAAAGGCUGGGC
RNAcentral lists this small RNA (502 nucleotides) under Pongo abelii (Sumatran orangutan). Its description in RNAcentral is "processed transcript". The record is from RNAcentral. Lineage: Eukaryota; Metazoa; Chordata; Mammalia; Primates; Hominidae.